GACGAACGCUGGCGGCGUGCCUAAUACAUGCAAGUAGAACGCUGAAGGAGGAGCUUGCUUCUCUGGAUGAGUUGCGAACGGGUGAGUAACGCGUAGGUAACCUGCCUGGUAGCGGGGGAUAACUAUUGGAAACGAUAGCUAAUACCGCAUAAGAGUAGAUGUUGCAUGACAUUUGCUUAAAAGGUGCAAUUGCAUCACUACCAGAUGGACCUGCGUUGUAUUAGCUAGUUGGUGGGGUAACGGCUCACCAAGGCGACGAUACAUAGCCGACCUGAGAGGGUGAUCGGCCACACUGGGACUGAGACACGGCCCAGACUCCUACGGGAGGCAGCAGUAGGGAAUCUUCGGCAAUGGACGGAAGUCUGACCGAGCAACGCCGCGUGAGUGAAGAAGGGUUUCGGAUCGUAAAGCUCUGUUGUAAGAGAAGAACGGGUGUGAGAGUGGAAAGUUCACACUGUGACGGUAUCUUACCAGAAAGGGACGGCUAACUACGUG
This 495-nucleotide ribosomal RNA is filed under the name uncultured bacterium. RNAcentral describes it as "partial 16S ribosomal RNA". It matches the Rfam family "Bacterial small subunit ribosomal RNA", at positions 28 to 507 of the family's 1533-position model. The record is from RNAcentral.